UCUAAUCGUAAUAUCCCAGUAACAGUGAGACUCUGGCUAUACCUGACAAUGAUGGGCUUGGUCAUUGACUGUGAGAAUGAUCUCCCAUGAUUGAAUAGUGUGAGACAUGGAGUCUCAAAGUGAUAGGAUCUGACACAAAGCUCAGGUUCUAGUCUCCAUUUACAAAAGUGCUGGAUCAAUGAUGAGUUUUUAAAACUGAAUCAUUUUUGAAUAUGAACAAAAUGAGUGACCAAACCACUUCUGUGAUCUGAGGUCCAGCAUAGUAGCCAUGGCUGGGUAGAAAUGUGAAACAAGUUCAGUUUUACCAGCAACUAGUUCCUAACAGGCAUGAGCUUUUGUAAAACUACUUGCAUAUGUUAGAGCAAAGUAAUUGUGCAGAAGCCUAUAUACUCAGUUUUGAGAUGACAUAGAAAUUUUUGAACACUUGGUCAACCUGGACUCAAAACUGGAAUUUCAUUUGGAUGAAUGUAUUACUUCUUUUGUGUCAUGAUCUGAAGGGAAGUUUUGAAAAUUAUUCUGCCUCCCAUCCAUGAUGGACAGUGGGAUUAGUCAAAAUAAGAAGAUGACUUCCUGGGAACUCUUCUAGGAAUGUAUGAUUUUCAGGAAAUUCCUGAAACAAGAGCAAUUGAAGAGUCUCUUUGACUACCGUCUGCCCAACUACCAUCAUCUGAAGGUAA
This is a long non-coding RNA of Ochotona princeps (American pika), 677 nucleotides long. RefSeq lists it as uncharacterized. The transcript has 3 exons. NCBI's taxonomy places the organism in Eukaryota, Metazoa, Chordata, Mammalia, Lagomorpha, Ochotonidae. The record is from RefSeq and is a predicted model, not a curated record.